GACACGAUGGCCGAGUGGUUAAGGCGUUAGACUUGAAUUAGCUUAAAAUACUUCAUGCCAUCUAAUGGGUUCGCCCGCGUAGGUUCAAAUCCUGCUCGUGUCG
Molecule: transfer RNA, 103 nt
Filed under: Exophiala spinifera
Lineage: Eukaryota; Fungi; Ascomycota; Eurotiomycetes; Chaetothyriales; Herpotrichiellaceae
Rfam family: tRNA
About the family: Transfer RNA (tRNA) molecules are approximately 80 nucleotides in length. Their secondary structure includes four short double-helical elements and three loops (D, anti-codon, and T loops). Further hydrogen bonds mediate the characteristic L-shaped molecular structure. tRNAs have two regions of fundamental functional importance: the anti-codon, which is responsible for specific mRNA codon recognition, and the 3' end, to which the tRNAs corresponding amino acid is attached (by aminoacyl-tRNA synthetases). tRNAs cope with the degeneracy of the genetic code in two manners: having more than one tRNA (with a specific anti-codon) for a particular amino acid; and 'wobble' base-pairing, i.e. permitting non-standard base-pairing at the 3rd anti-codon position.
Source: Rfam by way of RNAcentral